This 253-nucleotide ribosomal RNA is filed under the name uncultured bacterium. RNAcentral's name for it is "partial 16S ribosomal RNA". It matches the Rfam family "Bacterial small subunit ribosomal RNA", at positions 524 to 776 of the family's 1533-position model. The record is from RNAcentral.
UACAGAGGUCUCAAGCGUUGUUCGGAUUCAUUGGGCGUAAAGGGUGCGUAGGCGGCGCGGUAAGUCGGGUGUGAAAUCUCGGAGCUUAACUCCGAAACUGCAUUCGAUACUGCCGUGCUUGAGGACUGGAGAGGAUACUGGAAUUUACGGUGUAGCGGUGAAAUGCGUAGAUAUUCGGAAGAACACCAGUGGCGAAGGCGGCUCACUGGACUGGUAUUGACGCUGAGGUGCGAAAGCGUGGGGAGCAAACAGG